This 84-nucleotide transfer RNA is filed under the name Halotalea alkalilenta. It matches the Rfam family "tRNA". Rfam says of the family: Transfer RNA (tRNA) molecules are approximately 80 nucleotides in length. Their secondary structure includes four short double-helical elements and three loops (D, anti-codon, and T loops). Further hydrogen bonds mediate the characteristic L-shaped molecular structure. tRNAs have two regions of fundamental functional importance: the anti-codon, which is responsible for specific mRNA codon recognition, and the 3' end, to which the tRNAs corresponding amino acid is attached (by aminoacyl-tRNA synthetases). tRNAs cope with the degeneracy of the genetic code in two manners: having more than one tRNA (with a specific anti-codon) for a particular amino acid; and 'wobble' base-pairing, i.e. permitting non-standard base-pairing at the 3rd anti-codon position. The record is from Rfam by way of RNAcentral. Lineage: Bacteria; Pseudomonadati; Pseudomonadota; Gammaproteobacteria; Oceanospirillales; Halomonadaceae.
GCCCGGAUGGCGGAAUUGGUAGACGCGCUAGCUUCAGGUGCUAGUGUCCUUAUGGACGUGAAGGUUCAAGUCCUUUUCCGGGCA